This 194-nucleotide unclassified non-coding RNA is filed under the name soil metagenome. RNAcentral's name for it is "partial contains 5.8S ribosomal RNA, internal transcribed spacer 2, and large subunit ribosomal RNA". The record is from RNAcentral.
AACGCACGAGACCUGCGGACCUGCGGAGGGAUCAUUAUCGGGAGUGCCUUCGUGGCUCAACCUGCAACCCGGUGUUGUUACCACUCAACUGCCCUUUGGCGGUUCGUCCGCCAAAAGCAAUCUUAAACUCGUUAUGAAUGUGUCAUAAUCUUAACUAAAUAUCAAUAAAUCAAAACUUUUAACAAUGGAUCUCU